GCUGUCGUCCAAACUAAGCCGAAAGCACCGGAUCCCAUCCGAACUCCGAAGUUAAGCGGCUUCAGGCAUGGUUAGUACUAAGGUGGGGGACCGCUUGGGAAGUCCAUGUGACGACAGCC
Molecule: ribosomal RNA, 119 nt
Organism: Nymphaea colorata (pocket water lily)
Lineage: Eukaryota; Viridiplantae; Streptophyta; Magnoliopsida; Nymphaeales; Nymphaeaceae
Source: RefSeq, a predicted model, not a curated record